Molecule: ribosomal RNA, 229 nt
Filed under: uncultured bacterium
Lineage: Bacteria
Description: partial 16S ribosomal RNA
Rfam family: Bacterial small subunit ribosomal RNA
Source: RNAcentral
UGCGCAGGCGGGCUUGUAAGUCAGUGGUGAAAUCUUGCCGCUUAACGGUAAAAUUGCCAUUGAUACUGCAAGUCUUGAAUAUGGUUGAGGUAGGCGGAAUGUGUCGUGUAGCGGUGAAAUGCAUAGAUAUGACACAGAACGCCAAUUGCGAAGGCAGCUUACUAAGCCAUUAUUGACGCUGAGGCACGAAAGCGUGGGGAGCGAACAGGAUUAGAUACCCUGGUAGUCC